Molecule: ribosomal RNA, 1310 nt
Filed under: Salmonella enterica
Lineage: Bacteria; Pseudomonadati; Pseudomonadota; Gammaproteobacteria; Enterobacterales; Enterobacteriaceae
Also listed under: 1 other name
Description: partial 23S ribosomal RNA
Rfam family: Bacterial large subunit ribosomal RNA
Source: RNAcentral
GAAAUCGUACCCCAAACCGACACAGGUGGUCAGGUAGAGAAUACCAAGGCGCUUGAGAGAACUCGGGUGAAGGAACUAGGCAAAAUGGUGCCGUAACUUCGGGAGAAGGCACGCUGACACGUAGGUGAAGUGAUUUACUCAUGGAGCUGAAGUCAGUCGAAGAUACCAGCUGGCUGCAACUGUUUAUUAAAAACACAGCACUGUGCAAACACGAAAGUGGACGUAUACGGUGUGACGCCUGCCCGGUGCCGGAAGGUUAAUUGAUGGGGUCAGCGUAAGCGAAGCUCCUGAUCGAAGCCCCGGUAAACGGCGGCCGUAACUAUAACGGUCCUAAGGUAGCGAAAUUCCUUGUCGGGUAAGUUCCGACCUGCACGAAUGGCGUAAUGAUGGCCAGGCUGUCUCCACCCGAGACUCAGUGAAAUUGAACUCGCUGUGAAGAUGCAGUGUACCCGCGGCAAGACGGAAAGACCCCGUGAACCUUUACUAUAGCUUGACACUGAACAUUGAGCCUUGAUGUGUAGGAUAGGUGGGAGGCUUUGAAGUGUGGACGCCAGUCUGCAUGGAGCCGACCUUGAAAUACCACCCUUUAAUGUUUGAUGUUCUAACGUGGACCCGUAAUCCGGGUUGCGGACAGUGUCUGGUGGGUAGUUUGACUGGGGCGGUCUCCUCCUAAAGAGUAACGGAGGAGCACGAAGGUUGGCUAAUCCUGGUCGGACAUCAGGAGGUUAGUGCAAUGGCAUAAGCCAGCUUGACUGCGAGCGUGACGGCGCGAGCAGGUGCGAAAGCAGGUCAUAGUGAUCCGGUGGUUCUGAAUGGAAGGGCCAUCGCUCAACGGAUAAAAGGUACUCCGGGGAUAACAGGCUGAUACCGCCCAAGAGUUCAUAUCGACGGCGGUGUUUGGCACCUCGAUGUCGGCUCAUCACAUCCUGGGGCUGAAGUAGGUCCCAAGGGUAUGGCUGUUCGCCAUUUAAAGUGGUACGCGAGCUGGGUUUAGAACGUCGUGAGACAGUUCGGUCCCUAUCUGCCGUGGGCGCUGGAGAACUGAGGGGGGCUGCUCCUAGUACGAGAGGACCGGAGUGGACGCAUCACUGGUGUUCGGGUUGUCAUGCCAAUGGCACUGCCCGGUAGCUAAAUGCGGAAGAGAUAAGUGCUGAAAGCAUCUAAGCACGAAACUUGCCCCGAGAUGAGUUCUCCCUGAGACUUAGAGUCUCCUGAAGGAACGUUGAAGACGACGACGUUGAUAGGCCGGGUGUGUAAGCGCAGCGAUGCGUUGAGCUAACCGGUACUAAUGAACCGUGAGGCUUAACCUU